GAUGAACGCUGGCGGCGUGCCUAAUACAUGCAAGCCGAGCGAACGGACGAGAAGCUUGCUUUUCUGAUGUUAGCGGCGGACGGGUGAGUAACACGUGGAUAACCUACCUAUAAGACUGGGAUAACUUCGGGAAACCGGAGCUAAUACCGGAUAAUAUUUUGAACCGCAUGGUUCAAAAGUGAAAGACGGUCUUGCUGUCACUUAUAGAUGGAUCCGCGCUGCAUUAGCUAGUUGGUAAGGUAACGGCUUACCAAGGCAACGAUGCAUAGCCGACCUGAGAGGGUGAUCGGCCACACUGGAACUGAGACACGGUCCAGACUCCUACGGGAGGCAGCAGUAGGGAAUCUUCCGCAAAGGGCGAAAGCCUGACGGAGCAACGCCGCGUGAGUGAUGAAGGUCUUCGGAUCGUAAAACUCUGUUAUUAGGGAAGAACAUAUGUGUAAGUAACUGUGCACAUCUUGACGGUACCUAAUCAGAAAGCCACGGCUAACUACGUG
RNAcentral lists this ribosomal RNA (497 nucleotides) under uncultured bacterium. RNAcentral describes it as "partial 16S ribosomal RNA". It matches the Rfam family "Bacterial small subunit ribosomal RNA", at positions 28 to 507 of the family's 1533-position model. The record is from RNAcentral.